This 511-nucleotide ribosomal RNA is filed under the name uncultured bacterium. RNAcentral's name for it is "partial 16S ribosomal RNA". It matches the Rfam family "Bacterial small subunit ribosomal RNA", at positions 28 to 523 of the family's 1533-position model. The record is from RNAcentral.
GACGAACGCUGGCGGCGUGCCUAAUACAUGCAAGUAGAACGCUGAAGGAGGAGCUUACUUCUCUGGAUGAGUUGCGAACGGGUGAGUAACGCGUAGGUAACCUGCCUGGUAGCGGGGGAUAACUAUUGGAAACGAUAGCUAAUAGCGCAUAAGGGUAGAUGUUGCAUGCCACUUACUUAAAAGGAGCAAUUGCACCACUACCAGAUGGACCUGCGUUGUAUUAGCUAGUGUGUGGGGUAACGGCUUACCAAGGCGACGAUACAUAGCCCACCUGAGAGGGUGAUCGGCCACACUGGGACUGAGACACGGCCCAGACUCCUACGGGAGGCAGCAGUAGGGAAUCUUCGGCAAUGGACGGAAGUCUGACCGAGCAACGCCGCGUGAGUGAAGAAGGUUUUCGGAUCGUAAAGCUCUGUUGUAAGAGAAGAACGAGUGUGAGAGUGGAAAGUUCACACUGUGGCGGUAUCUUACCAGAAAGGGACGGCUAACUACGUGCCAGCCGCCGCAGUAA